GAUGAACGCUAGCUACAGGCUUAACACAUGCAAGUCGAGGGGAAACGGCAUUUAGUGCUUGCACUGAAUGGACGUCGACCGGCGCACGGGCGAGUAACGCGUAUCCAACCUUCCCAUUACUGUGGGAUAACCUGCCGAAAGGCAGACUAAUACCGCAUAGUCUUCGAUGACGGCAUCAGAUUUGAAGUAAAGAUUUAUCGGUAAUGGAUGGGGAUGCGUCUGAUUAGCUUGUUGGCGGGGUAACGGCCCACCAAGGCAACGAUCAGUAGGGGUUCUGAGAGGAAGGUCCCCCACAUUGGAACUGAGACACGGUCCAAACUCCUACGGGAGGCAGCAGUGAGGAAUAUUGGUCAAUGGACGAGAGUCUGAGCCAGCCAAGUAGCGUGCAGGAUGACGGCCCUAUGGGUUGUAAACUGCUUUUGUAUGGGGAUAAAGUCAAUCACGUGUGAUUGUUUGCAGGUACCAUACGAAUAAGGACCGGCUAAUUCCGUGCCAGCAGCCGCGGUAAUACGGAAGGUCCGGGCGUUAUCCGGAUUUAUUGGGUUUAAAGGGAGCGUAGGCCGGAGAUUAAGUGUGUUGUGAAAUGUAGACGCUCAACGUCUGACUUGCAGCGCAUACUGGUUUCCUUGAGUACGCACAACGUUGGCGGAAUUCGUCGUGUAGCGGUGAAAUGCUUAGAUAUGACGAAGAACUCCGAUUGCGAAGGCAGCUGACGGGAGCGCAACUGACGCUUAAGCUCGAAGGUGCGGGUAUCGAACAGG
RNAcentral lists this ribosomal RNA (761 nucleotides) under Prevotella melaninogenica. RNAcentral describes it as "bacterial SSU rRNA". It matches the Rfam family "Bacterial small subunit ribosomal RNA", at positions 28 to 776 of the family's 1533-position model. Lineage: Bacteria; Pseudomonadati; Bacteroidota; Bacteroidia; Bacteroidales; Prevotellaceae. The record is from RNAcentral.